This 332-nucleotide ribosomal RNA is filed under the name uncultured Gemmatimonas sp. RNAcentral's name for it is "bacterial SSU rRNA". It matches the Rfam family "Bacterial small subunit ribosomal RNA", at positions 568 to 898 of the family's 1533-position model. Lineage: Bacteria; Pseudomonadati; Gemmatimonadota; Gemmatimonadia; Gemmatimonadales; Gemmatimonadaceae. The record is from RNAcentral.
CGCGUAGGCGGCGCGGUAAGCGUGCGGUGAAAGCCCGGGGCUCAACCCCGGGUCGGCCGUGCGGACUGCCGGGCUGGAGCACUGUAGAGGCAGGUGGAAUUCCGGGUGUAGCGGUGGAAUGCGUAGAGAUCCGGAAGAACACCGGUGGCGAAGGCGGCCUGCUGGGCAGUAGCUGACGCUGAAGCGCGACAGCGUGGGGAGCAAACAGGAUUAGAUACCCUGGUAGUCCACGCCGUAAACGAUGGGCACUAGGUGCCUGGGGGAGCGACCCCCCGGGUGCCGGCGCUAACGCAUUAAGUGCCCCGCCUGGGGAGUACGGCCGCAAGGCUGAA